AAAGACAAAAUGAAUAAAAAUUUCAAAUAUAAAAUGGAAAAAACUUUUAGUUUAGAAUGUACAAAGAAAAAAAAAUAACAAAUAGAGGAAAAAGAUAUAAAAUAUGAAAGAUGAAAAAUAAAAUAAAAGUUAAUAAAAAAUAUAAAAUUAUAAAGAAGAAAUAAAAAAAAGUGUGAACAAAAAGAUUUAAGAAAAAGCAAGAAAAAAUAAAAAACGAAAAUACAAAAUAUAUAAAAUAAAAUUUGAGAAAAAAAAUAAAAAAUGAAGAGGCAAAAAUAUGAAAGAAAACAAAAAGAAAAAAAUUUAUAGAAAAUUUUAAAAGAAAGAAAAAAGUGAACAAAAAAAAUGAAAGCACAUAAAAAAAAGAAGAAAAAUUUGAAAAGAGAAAAAGUUAAUGAAAAAUUAUAAAAAUGCAAUAGAAAAUAACCAGGAAUGAUAAAAGAAAAAAAGAUAGAAAAAAAAUUCCAAAACUUUAUAAAAAUUUAUGAAACUAUAAAUAAAGAAAGAAAAUAAAAAAAGAAAAAAGAUAAAUAAAGCACAAAAAAAGGAAAAAGUAAGAAAAUUAAAAAGGACAAAAAUUGAAUAAAAAAUUAGUUUAAAAAAUACAAAAAAUUGAAAAACAUAUAAGACCUAACAUUAUAAAAAGUAAGACAAAAAAUUAAAAAAGAGAAAAGUGAAUGCAAAAUAAAAAAAGUAUGAGAAUUUAAAAACGCAAAUAAGGAAUGAAAGGAAAUUUGUGAAAAAAAAAAAAGAAAAGCAAGAAAAGACAAGAUUUGGAAUAAAAAACAGAAAAAUAAAAAUUUUUAAAACAACGAAAAAAUAAAAACAAGUAAAAAUGAAAGCAUAUGAAAAAAAAAAAAGCAAAAAGAAGGAAAAUUGUGAAGGGAAAAAGUUAUUAAAAAAUUAUAAAGUAGAAAAAAUAGCAAAAAAAAUAAGAAAACAAAAAAGAUUCAAAAAAUAAAAAUAAAAAAUUUUAAACUUUAUAAAAAUUUUUUAAAAUAAAAAUAAAUGAAAAAUAAAUUAAGAGAAAAAAUUAAAUAAAAUACCAAAAAAGGAAAAAAUAAAAAGUAACAAAGUAAGAAAAUAAAAAAUUAGCGAAUCAAAAAAAUAUAAAAAGACAAAAUGAAUAAAAAUUUCAAAUAUAAAAUGGAAAAAACUUUUAGUUUAGAAUGUACAAAGAAAAAAAAUAACAAAUAGAGGAAAAAGAUAUAAAAUAUGAAAGAUGAAAAAUAAAAUUAAAGUUAAUAAAAAAUAUAAAGAAGAAAUAAAAAAAAGUGUGAACAAAAAAAUUUAAGAAAAAGCAAUAAAAAACGAAAAUACAAAAUAUAUAAAAUAAAAUUUGAGAAAAAAAUGAAAAAGAAGAAAAAAUAAAAAAAUGAAGAGGCAAAAAUAUGAAAGAAAACAAAAAGAAAAAAAUUUAUAGAAAAUUUUAAAACAAAGUGAACAAAAAAAAUGAAAGCACAUAAAAAAAAGAAAAAUUUAAAAGGAGAAAAAGUCAAUGAAAAAUGAUAAAAAUGCAAUAGAAAAUAACCAAGAAUGAUAAAAGAAAAAAAGAUAGAAAAAUAAAAAAUUCCAAAACUUUAUAAAAAUUUAUGAAACUAUAAAUAAAGAAAGAAAAUAAGAAAAAAAUUAGAGCAAAAGAAAAAAGAUAAAUAAAGCACAAAAAAGAAAAAGGUAAGAAAAUAAAAAGGACAAAAAUUGAAUAAAAAAUUCAAAAAUGAAAUGGAAUGACAAAAUGAAAAAAAAUUAGUUUAAAAAAUACAAAAAAUUGAAAAACAUAUAAGACCUAACAAUAUAAAAAGUCAGCCAAAAAAUUAAAAAGAGAAAAGUUAAUGCAAAAUAAAAAAAAAAGUAUGAGAAUUUAAAAACGCAAAUAAAAAAUGAAAGGAAAUUUGUGAAAAAAAAAAAAAAAAGCAAGAAAAAAAUGAAGACAUAAGAUUUGGAAUAAAAAACAGAAAAAUAAAAAUUUUAAAACAACGAAAAAACAAAAACAAGUAAAAAUGAAAGCAUAUGAAAAAAAAAAAAGCAAAAAAGAGAAUUUGUGAGGAAAAAGUAUUAAAAAUUACAAGUAGAAAAAAUGCAAAAAAAAUAAGAAAUAAAAGAAUUCAAAAAAUAAAAAUAAAAAAUUUUGAACUUUAUAAAAAUUUUUAAAAUAAAAUAAAAAAACAAAAGCAGAAGUACAAGUAGAAAUAAAAAAUUAGGCGAAUCAAAAAAAAUAUAAAAGACAAAAUGAAUAAAAAUUUCAAUUAUAAAAUGGAAAAAACUUUUUAGUUUAGAAUGUACAAAGAAAAAAAAUAACAAAUAGAGGAAAAAGAUAUAAAAUAUGAAAGAUGAAAAAUAAAAUUAAAGUUAAUAAAAAAUAUAAAAUAUAAAGAAGAAAUAAAAAAAAAGUCUGAACAAAAAAAUUUAAGAAAAAAAUAAAAACGAAAAUACAAAAUAUAUAAAAUAAAAUUUGAGAAAAAAAUGAAAAAGAAGAAAAAAAUAAAAAAUGAAGAGGCAAAAAUAUGAAAGAAAACAAAAAGAAAAAAAUUUAUAGAAAAUUUUAAAACAAAGAAAAAAGUGAACAAAAAAAAAUGAAAGCACAUAAAAAAAAAAGAAAAAUUUGAAAGGAGAAAAAGUUAACGAAAAAUUAUAAAAAUGCAAUAGAAAAUAACCAAGAAUGAUAAAAGAAAAAAAGAUAGAAAAAUAAAAAAUUCCAAAACUUUAUAAAAAUUUAUGAAACUAUAAAUAAAGAAAGAAAAUAAAAAAUAAAAUAA
Molecule: long non-coding RNA, 2756 nt
Filed under: Durio zibethinus
Lineage: Eukaryota; Viridiplantae; Streptophyta; Magnoliopsida; Malvales; Malvaceae
Description: long non-coding RNA (DZIB_LNC001071)
Source: RNAcentral